Molecule: ribosomal RNA, 253 nt
Filed under: uncultured bacterium
Lineage: Bacteria
Description: partial 16S ribosomal RNA
Rfam family: Bacterial small subunit ribosomal RNA
Source: RNAcentral
UACAGAGGUGGCAAGCGUUGUUCGGAAUUACUGGGCGUAAAGGGCGAGUAGGCGGCCUUCUAGGUCAGACGUGAAAUCCCCCGGCUUAACCUGGGAACUGCGUCUGAUACUGGGAGGCUAGAGUAUGGGAGAGGGAUGUAGAAUUCCAGGUGUAGCGGUGAAAUGCGUAGAUAUCUGGAGGAAUACCGGUGGCGAAGGCGGCAUCCUGGACCAUUACUGACGCUGAAUCGCGAAAGCUAGGGGAGCAAACGGG